GUAAGGAAUAUUGGACAAUGGACGCAAGUCUGAUCCAGCCAUGCCGCGUGAAGGAUUAAGGUCCUCUGGAUUGUAAACUUCUUUUAUAAGGGACGAAAAAAGGCUUUUCUAAGUCGUCUGACGGUACCUUAUGAAUAAGCACCGGCUAACUCCGUGCCAGCAGCCGCGGUAAUACGGAGGGUGCAAGCGUUAUCCGGAUUCACUGGGUUUAAAGGGUGCGUAGGUGGGCAGGUAAGUCAGUGGUGAAAUCCUAGAGCUUAACUCUAGAACUGCCAUUGAUACUAUCUGUCUUGAAUAUUGUGGAGGUAAGCGGAAUAUGUCAUGUAGCGGUGAAAUGCUUAGAUAUGACAUAGAACACCUAUUGCGAAGGCAGCUUACUACGCAUAUAUUGACGCUGAGGCACGAAAGCGUGGGGAUCAAACAGGAUUAGAAACCCUUGUAGUCC
RNAcentral lists this ribosomal RNA (445 nucleotides) under uncultured bacterium. RNAcentral describes it as "bacterial SSU rRNA". It matches the Rfam family "Bacterial small subunit ribosomal RNA", at positions 354 to 796 of the family's 1533-position model. The record is from RNAcentral.